Molecule: transfer RNA, 65 nt
Filed under: Dipodomys ordii (Ord's kangaroo rat)
Lineage: Eukaryota; Metazoa; Chordata; Mammalia; Rodentia; Heteromyidae
Rfam family: tRNA
About the family: Transfer RNA (tRNA) molecules are approximately 80 nucleotides in length. Their secondary structure includes four short double-helical elements and three loops (D, anti-codon, and T loops).
Source: Rfam by way of RNAcentral
GGUGGCUUAGUGGUAGAGCGCUUGCCUAGCAAGCAUGAGGCUCUGGGUUCGAUUCCUCAGCACCA